UCCGCCUGGCCGGAUGGGGCUUGCGGUCCACCUUUCAUUUCUACAGGGCUAAGCGUAGUUGGAGACCCUCCUCCAACAGGGAACAGCGCCGACCACAGGUAGCUCCCUUGCAUCGCGGACCAACCUCGCGCAAGCCCCGCCCCUCAGUCAGGAGGUACACUGCGCACGCGCGGUAUCCUAGGCCCCGCCUACACCCCGUCAGCUCCGCCCACUUGGAGGCCUGCUCUGAGUCUCGGUCGCGCGCGGAUCCUGGGGGAAGUGAACUCCCGAGUCGGGCGGGACAGCGGAGUCCAAGCAGCCUCUCCCCCGCCACGGCCCCAACCAAGCCCCGCCCCACCUACCGUGAGCCGCUGCGGGAGCUCCCCCUCCAGGUGGGAACCAGGGACUUGAACCCGGGUCCUUAUGCACUGCAACAUGUGUGCUCAACCAGAUAAACAAGCAUGAAUUAAAAGCACCUAUUUGUCAAAGAUGUGCUGUUCACACCAGUGAGCAGAGAAGGCUGCAGCCGGAGCCCCCAGCAACUCCUCCUCCCACCUGUGCUCGGUGUCGCUGGAGUUUCCCGAAGCCACCGGGGCAGCAACAAGGCCAUGAAGACGGAGAAGCCCACGUUGAAGAUGUUUCGGCCAGAGUCAGUGUCAGCCAAGUGGAAGCUGGAGAAGCCGAGCAAGAGACAGCACAACACUGGAGCUUCCCAUGUGAUGCCAGGGCUGGAAGCCAGUUCCUUUCCCUAGCAAGAGAAGACCCACAUACCUGACAGAGGCUCCCUGUGCCCAGAUUGGGGAAGCUGGAGGCAGCACCCAGAGGACUCCCCAGCAGCCCAGCCAACAUGCUGCCCAGCCCUUCCAGGCUCAGCCCCCGAUUGCAGGCAUG
Long non-coding RNA from Erinaceus europaeus (western European hedgehog), 870 nucleotides. RefSeq lists it as uncharacterized. Lineage: Eukaryota; Metazoa; Chordata; Mammalia; Eulipotyphla; Erinaceidae. The transcript is spliced from 5 exons. The record is from RefSeq and is a predicted model, not a curated record.